Molecule: ribosomal RNA, 575 nt
Filed under: uncultured Neocallimastigomycetes
Lineage: Eukaryota; Fungi; Neocallimastigomycota; Neocallimastigomycetes
Description: partial large subunit ribosomal RNA
Rfam family: Eukaryotic large subunit ribosomal RNA
Source: RNAcentral
CAUAGAGGGUGAGAAUCCCGUAUUUGACCAUUAUUUUCAGCUGUGUGAUACACUUUCAAAGAGUCGGAUUGUUUGGGAAUGCAGUCCAAAAUGGGUGGUAAAUUUCAUCUAAAGCUAAAUAUUGGCGAGAGACCGAUAGCGAACAAGUACCGUGAGGGAAAGAUGAAAAGAACUUUGAAAAGAGAGUUAAACAGUACGUGAAAUUGUCAAAAGGGAAGCGUUUGACACCAGUGUUGUUUUCUCGAAAAUCAAUUAAAAAAAGUUGGAUUUUGUGUUUGUAUGACCUUAACAGCUUCUUUCACUUUUUUCCUGCUUUUUUUAAUGCACUUUUCGUUUAACAAGUCAACAUCAGUUUCUUUUGUUGUAAAAAGGUCAUUGGAAGGUGGCUUUCUUUUCGGAGAAAGUGUUUAUAGCCUUUGACUCCUGCAAUCGGAGAGACUGAGGUCUGCAGCGUAGAUCCUUCGGGGUUAGAUACAUUUGUGCUAAGUUAUAGCUUUUCAUAGACAACUUGUUGACUAUGUUUAGUCAUGUAGCUUACUCGCUUAUGCUAUUUUACCUACGCUUAGGAUGUUGAA